Long non-coding RNA from Daphnia pulicaria, 542 nucleotides. RefSeq lists it as uncharacterized. NCBI's taxonomy places the organism in Eukaryota, Metazoa, Arthropoda, Branchiopoda, Diplostraca, Daphniidae. The record is from RefSeq and is a predicted model, not a curated record. The transcript is spliced from 4 exons.
AAUUGUAGCUGGACGUUUAUCUGUUGUUUUCGUGUGUCAUAUCUCGGAAUGGACUAUUUCCAUCGCACUCUAGUCACACAACUUGGUGCUAUACACAUUUUCUACCAUGUAAAGGGGAAUAGCUUACGAAAGUAGUAUGCAGUAAAAUGAGAAGGCUUGUAAUUUUUAUGUGAAGUCAAGUCUCAGCAAGGGUAAUUGAAAAAUUAGACACUGCAUUAUCCACUUCACUGCAGAAGUGUCAGUCGGUGUCACCCUACACAAUCAAGAUUGUUUUUUGUGUCCAUCCGUUAAGUCAAAGAAGGAAGUCCCUGUGGUAGACAAUAAUCAAGAUGUGAAAACCUCAUCAGCACAGGAGGAAAAGCCGAGCAUCUUUAUUUUGACAUUAUUCACAGACAUCAGUAUCCAUCCUGAGGUAUUGAACAACAUCAUCCGUGGCUGAUGAGGACUGUGACAUGUCAAUGGAGGGCUGCAUCUUGUUGUGGCUAGCAACUUGGGACUUUGCAGUGGUUGAAUAGACGAAUUCUUGUCGAAUACCCUUGAUU